UCCUUAGUGGUGUAGUGGUCAACAUUAUCGUCUCUCACACGGUAGCCCUGGGUUCGAUUCCCAGCUAAGGAG
This is a non-coding RNA of Arthroderma sp. PD_2, 72 nucleotides long. NCBI's taxonomy places the organism in Eukaryota, Fungi, Ascomycota, Eurotiomycetes, Onygenales, Arthrodermataceae. The record is from the annotation of a GenBank genome assembly.